This 458-nucleotide ribosomal RNA is filed under the name uncultured bacterium. RNAcentral's name for it is "partial 16S ribosomal RNA". It matches the Rfam family "Bacterial small subunit ribosomal RNA", at positions 338 to 795 of the family's 1533-position model. The record is from RNAcentral.
GCUACGGGCGGCAGCAGUGAGGAAUAUUGGUCAAUGGCCGGAAGGCUGAACCAGCCAAGCCGCGUGAAGGACGAAGGUGCCAAGCAUUGUAAACUUCUUUUGUCAAGGGACAAAAUCAGGCUCGAGAGCCUGACCGAGGGGACUUGAAGAAAAAGCACCGGCUAACUCCGUGCCAGCAGCCGCGGUAAUACGGAGGAUGCUCGCGUUAUCCGGAUUUAUUGGGGUUAAAGGGUGCGGAGGCAGACUGUUAAGGCAGCGGUAAAGCCCGGGGCUCAACCCCGGCGAGCCGGUGAAACUGGCUGUCUGGAGAUGUCGAGAGGUAUGCGGAAUGCGCAGUGUAGCGGUGAAAUGCUUAGAUAUUGCGCAGAACUCCGAUUGCGAAGGCAGCAUACCGGCGGCGAUCUGACGCUGAGGCACGAAAGCGUGGGUAUCGAACAGGAUUAGAUACCCUGGUAGUC